CGGCCCUGAGAUGAGAUCUCUCAUAACGUAAGUUAGUAAGACCCCUUGCAGAAGACAAGGUUGAUAGGCCGGGAGUGUAAGUGCAGCAAUGUAUUGAGCGGACCGGUACUAAUAGGUCGAGGGCUUGAUUUC
Molecule: ribosomal RNA, 132 nt
Filed under: Acidaminococcaceae bacterium
Lineage: Bacteria; Bacillati; Bacillota; Negativicutes; Acidaminococcales; Acidaminococcaceae
Description: partial 23S ribosomal RNA
Rfam family: Bacterial large subunit ribosomal RNA
Source: RNAcentral